RNAcentral lists this ribosomal RNA (462 nucleotides) under uncultured bacterium. Its description in RNAcentral is "SSU rRNA". It matches the Rfam family "Bacterial small subunit ribosomal RNA", at positions 26 to 518 of the family's 1533-position model. The record is from RNAcentral.
AGCCUGAACGCUGGCGGCGUGGUUAAGACAUGCAAGUCGUACGGUGUAGCAAUACACAGUGGCGAACGGGUGAGUAAUGAAUCGCUAAUGUACCCCGGACUUUGGGAUAGCUGCCCGAAAGGGCAGGUAAUACCAGAUGAUAUAACUUUGUCGCAUGACAGAGUUCUCAAAGGUCCGCCGGUCUGGGAGCAGGCGAUUUCGUAUCAGCUAGUUGGUAAGGUAACGGCUUACCAAGGCGACGACGCGUAGCCGGACUGAGAGGUUGGCCGGCCACAUUGGGACUGAGACACUGCCCAGACUCCUACGGGGGCUGCAGUAACGAAUCUUCCGCAAUGCACGAAAGUGUGACGGAGCGACGCCGCGUGUGGGACGAAGCCCUUCGGGGUGUAAACCACUGUCAAGGGAAAGAAAGUUCUGAUCUACCCUAGAGGAAGAGGCGGCUAACUCUGUGCCAGCAGCCGC